UGAGGUUGCGUCCUCUCAAUCUCGUACAAGUUUCAAAUACUUAUCUAGUUUGUGCUAGUGGCAUCUACCGAUCUUGUUUGAACUUAUCACCAACUUUGGUGUGGCGUUCACCUAUCCAUCUAUCCAUAUUUUUCACCUUAACCAUAUAGGAAUUGGGGUGACACUUUUUAGUGUUGAAUCAUUCCUAACGUUGAGUUCGU
Molecule: long non-coding RNA, 200 nt
Filed under: Gossypium barbadense (sea-island cotton)
Lineage: Eukaryota; Viridiplantae; Streptophyta; Magnoliopsida; Malvales; Malvaceae
Description: long non-coding RNA (GBAR_LNC006457)
Source: RNAcentral